ACUUUACGAUAAUAGAAGAUCAACUGGAUAAACCUGAGAAUCCGAAUACACCGGAUAUUCCAAAGUCUCCGAAGUUGCCAAAAUUUCUAGAAAAACCAGAAUAACCUGAGAACCCUAAAUAACCAGGAUUUCCAAAAGGUCCUAAUGAUCCUAAUUCAGGAAGUAAAAAGGUGUCAAAAACAUAUGAAUUUGUAAUUCACCAAUAGCUUGACGAAAAGCUCAAAGACUUCGCCACUAAAGCCGAUUGAAGCGCGUUGAAGGUAAAGUUGAUGUUGUGUUUGAACUGCAAAAAACGUAGGGUGAACAGAUCAAGGUUCAAGGUGAGCAAAUUAAACAAUUAACCGAAACUGUUCAAACUCAAGGGGAACAAAUUAAAGAACUUCAAGCGGAGCAAAAAGUUCAAGGAGAAACUCUACAGUUAAUCUUGCAAAUGUUGCAAAAGAUGAGCAAUCGCUUGGAUUCAAUGGAUGUU
Molecule: small RNA, 472 nt
Filed under: Mycoplasmoides pneumoniae M129
Lineage: Bacteria; Bacillati; Mycoplasmatota; Mycoplasmoidales; Mycoplasmoidaceae
Description: Mycoplasma pneumoniae M129 ncRNA
Source: RNAcentral